GAUGAAGAACGUAGCGAAAUGCGACACGUAAUGUGAAUUGCAGAAUUCAGUGAAUCAUCGAGUCUUUGAACGCACAUUGCGCCCCCUGGUAUUCCGGGGGGCAUGCCUGUCCGAGCGUCAUUGCUGCCCUCAAGCACGGCUUGUGUGUUGGGCCUCCGUCCUCCUCCCGGGGGACGGGCCCGAAAGGCAGCGGCGGCACCGCGUCCGGUCCUCGAGCGUAUGGGGCUUCGUCACCCGCUCUUGUAGGCCCGGCCGGCGCUUGCCGACACAUCAAUCUUUUUUCCAGGUUGACCUCGGAUCAGGUAGGGAUACCCGCUGAACUUAAGCAUAUCAAUAAGCGGAGGA
This 345-nucleotide unclassified non-coding RNA is filed under the name soil metagenome. RNAcentral's name for it is "partial contains 5.8S ribosomal RNA, internal transcribed spacer 2, and large subunit ribosomal RNA". The stretch from base 1 to 120 matches the Rfam family "5.8S ribosomal RNA", at positions 35 to 154 of the family's 154-position model. The record is from RNAcentral.